RNAcentral lists this ribosomal RNA (1168 nucleotides) under Campylobacter coli. RNAcentral describes it as "partial 23S ribosomal RNA". It matches the Rfam family "Bacterial large subunit ribosomal RNA", at positions 1 to 1189 of the family's 2925-position model. Lineage: Bacteria; Pseudomonadati; Campylobacterota; Epsilonproteobacteria; Campylobacterales; Campylobacteraceae. The record is from RNAcentral.
AGGUAAGCUACUAAGAGCGAAUGGUGGAUGCCUUGACUGGUAAAGGCGAUGAAGGACGUACUAGACUGCGAUAAGCUACGGGGAGCUGUCAAGAAGCUUUGAUCCGUAGAUUUCCGAAUGGGGCAACCCAAUGUAUAGAGAUAUACAUUACCUAUAUAGGAGCGAACGAGGGGAAUUGAAACAUCUUAGUACCCUCAGGAAAAGAAAUCAAUAGAGAUUGCGUCAGUAGCGGCGAGCGAAAGCGUAAGAGGGCAAACCCAGUGCUUGCACUGGGGGUUGUAGGACUGCAAUGUGCAAGAGGUGAGUUUAGCAGAACAUUCUGGAAAGUAUAGCCAUAGAGGGUGAUAGUCCCGUAUGCGAAAAACAAACCUUAGCUAGCAGUAUCCUGAGUAGGGCGGGACACGAGAAAUCCUGUCUGAAGCUGGGUCGACCACGAUCCAACCCUAAAUACUAAUACCAGAUCGAUAGUGCACAAGUACCGUGAGGGAAAGGUGAAAAGAACUGAGGUGAUCAGAGUGAAAUAGAACCUGAAACCAUUUGCUUACAAUCAUUCAGAGCACUAUGUAGCAAUACAGUGUGAUGGACUGCCUUUUGCAUAAUGAGCCUGCGAGUUGUGGUGUCUGGCAAGGUUAAGCAAACGCGAAGCCGUAGCGAAAGCGAGUCUGAAUAGGGCGCUUAGUCAGAUGCUGCAGACCCGAAACGAAGUGAUCUAUCCAUGAGCAAGUUGAAGCUAGUGUAAGAACUAGUGGAGGACUGAACCCAUAGGCGUUGAAAAGCCCCGGGAUGACUUGUGGAUAGGGGUGAAAGGCCAAUCAAACUUCGUGAUAGCUGGUUCUCUCCGAAAUAUAUUUAGGUAUAGCGUUGUGUCGUAAUAUAAGGGGGUAGAGCACUGAAUGGGCUAGGGCAUACACCAAUGUACCAAACCCUAUCAAACUCCGAAUACCUUAUAUGUAAUCACAGCAGUCAGGCGGCGAGUGAUAAAAUCCGUCGUCAAGAGGGAAACAACCCAGACUACCAGCUAAGGUCCCUAAAUCUUACUUAAGUGGAAAACGAUGUGAAGUUACUUAAACAACCAGGAGGUUGGCUUAGAAGCAGCCAUCCUUUAAAGAAAGCGUAAUAGCUCACUGGUCUAGUGAUUUUGCGCGGAAAAUAUAACGGGGCUAAAGUA